This is a long non-coding RNA of Hypomesus transpacificus, 1072 nucleotides long. RefSeq lists it as uncharacterized. NCBI's taxonomy places the organism in Eukaryota, Metazoa, Chordata, Actinopteri, Osmeriformes, Osmeridae. The record is from RefSeq and is a predicted model, not a curated record. The transcript has 2 exons.
GGAGCUGGCAAAGGCUGGGUUGGAAAAUAUGUGUUUAUCUACUGAUAUCAGUAUCUAUAGAUGUCUAUGUCGAAAGGUUUCUCUAUAUUAAAGAUUUCUAUCAAUACCUGUAUUAAAGAUGUAUAUAUCUGCAGAUGCAGCAAAGGAAGCUUGUGCAUUUGAUCAUAUUAUCAAAACAUAUAUUUUGAUUGAUAUCCAAGAACUAGGAAGGGAUUUUAAAGUGUGGUAUAAAAUCAUACAUGAAUGUUACCAACAUGUGUGCCAAAAUGUAGUUUAGAACGACAUACCCACAAAUAUCUUUAAAUCCAGAAAAACAAGGUUAACAAAUGUCAUUUACCAGGCCCUGUCAAGGAUUGUCAUUUAUACCAGUCGACCAUCACAACCAGACAGAGCAUGAGAUGUUUGGUGAAAGGAGGGUUACAUUGAUGGAGGGAACCCCACAGGGAGACACAGAAAGAGAGAAAGCCUGCCUUGGUGUUACCCACAAAGCACCCGGAGGAUUAGACCUAGCAAUGCUGAUGGACCAGGAAUAAAAACACAACUAUUUCAGCUGCUGCUCUGCAGCCUGAUUUGGUGUAAGUUACAAGACUCUAGGGGUCCAGCCCUUCUGACAACCACUUAUCUGUCUGCUUAUACUUCUGGAACAUUCCAAAGCAGAAACACCACCAAACUGCUACCAUGCCCAUAUUUAGUCAACUGCAUUACGGCUGUAAGCUAUCAUGUCACAUUUAAUUAUUGAAUAUAUAUGUUGAUGUCUGUUUAUGAUGCAUCUUCUUGAACAGCAAGGAAGGUCAUGUAAACAGACAAUUUUAUUAAUCCAAACUUUUGUUAUUUCUGGGAGAUGACAGCACAAUGAAGGCAUGAGUGGUAUGUCAGAAAGCAAGGGGAGGGGUGUGUGAAGUGUGGACAAGCAGGAAUCAACAUUAAAGCAACUGGAAGAAAUCCUUCUAAGAUUCUAAUUCUCCUUGUCAAAAAUAAAGUUGUUGGUGGGCCACUACAAUAAACAGCACCAUUUCCCUUUCGACCAUUCAUCAAUGAACGUUAUGAAGAUGCCAGGUAGAGUUGAAUCAAA